RNAcentral lists this ribosomal RNA (482 nucleotides) under uncultured Saprospiraceae bacterium. RNAcentral's name for it is "bacterial SSU rRNA". It matches the Rfam family "Bacterial small subunit ribosomal RNA", at positions 28 to 505 of the family's 1533-position model. Lineage: Bacteria; Pseudomonadati; Bacteroidota; Saprospiria; Saprospirales; Saprospiraceae. The record is from RNAcentral.
GAUGAACGCUAGCGGGAGGCUUAAUACAUGCAAGUCGAGGGGUAACAGGGGACUUCGGUCCUGCUGACGACCGGCGAACGGGUGAGUUACGCGUACGCAACUUGCCUUCAAGCGGAGGAUAGCCCCGGGAAACUGGGAUUAAUACUCCAUAGUAUCAUAGAAUCGCAUGGUUUUAUGAUUAAAGAUCCGUUGCUUGAAGAUAGGCGUGCGUGCUAUUAGCUAGUUGGUAAGGUAGUGGCUUACCAAGGCUACGAUAGCUAGGGGGCGUGAGAGCGUGGCCCCCCACACGGGUACUGAGACACGGACCCGACUCCUACGGGAGGCAGCAGUAAGGAAUAUUGGACAAUGGGCGCAAGCCUGAUCCAGCUAUCCCGCGUGCAGGAUGACGGCCCUAUGGGUUGUAAACUGCUUUUAUACAGGAAGAAACGCUUCCAUUUAUGGGAGCCUGACGGUACUGUACGAAUAAGCACCGGCUAACUCCG